Molecule: ribosomal RNA, 1406 nt
Filed under: uncultured bacterium
Lineage: Bacteria
Description: 16S ribosomal RNA
Rfam family: Bacterial small subunit ribosomal RNA
Source: RNAcentral
AGAGUUUGAUGCUGAAUCAGGACGAACGGUUGCGACAGGCUUAACACAUGGGAGUCGAGGGGCAACGGGGGCUAAGCUGGCUUCGACUGGCGGCGAGCGGAGCAAGGGUGAUUAAAACUGAUGCGAGCUGGCCCCCGCAGGGGGAUAACCGGGAGAAAAUCCCGACUAAUACCGCGUAACGCCGCUGGGCUGCAUGGCCCGGCGGCCAAAAGGAAGCGAUUCCGGCGGGGGAUGGGCAUGCGGCGCAUUAGCUAGUCGGCGGGGUAACGGCCCACCGAGGCGACGAUGCGUAGGGGUUCUGAGAGGAAGGUCCCCCACACUGGUACUGAGACACGGACCAGACUCCUACGGGAGGCAGCAGUGAGGAAUAUUGGUCAAUGGGCGGGGGCCUGAACCAGCCAAGUCGCGUGAGGGAAGACGGUCCUACGGAUUGUAAACCUCUUUUGCCGGGGAGCAACGGGGUCCUUGCGAGGGCCCGAUGAGAGUACCCGGAGAAAAAGCAUCGGCUAACUCCGUGCCAGCAGCCGCGGUAAUACGGAGGAUGCGAGCGUUAUCCGGAUUUAUUGGGUUUAAAGGGUGCGUAGGCGGGCUGUUAAGUCAGCGGUCAAAUGUCGGGGCUCAACCCCGGCCUGCCGUUGAAACUGGCGGCCUCGAGUGGGCGAGAAGUAUGCGGAAUGCGUGGUGUAGCGGUGAAAUGCAUAGAUAUCACGCAGAAUUCCGAUUGCGAAGGCAGCAUACCGGCGCCCGACUGACGCUGAGGCACGAAAGCGUGGGUAUCGAACAGGAUUAGAUACCCUGGUAGUCCACGCAGUAAACGAUGAAUGCUAGCUGUCCGGUUCUACGGGACUGGGUGGCACAGCGAAAGCGUUAAGCAUUCCACCUGGGGAGUACGCCGGCAACGGUGAAACUCAAAGGAAUUGACGGGGGCCCGCACAAGCGGAGGAACAUGUGGUUUAAUUCGAUGAUACGCGAGGAACCUUACCCGGGCUCAAACGCCAAAGGACAGCCGUUGAAAGGCGGCCUCCCUCCGGGGUCUUUGGCGAGGUGCUGCAUGGUUGUCGUCAGCUCGUGCCGUGAGGUGUCGGCUUAAGUGCCAUAACGAGCGCAACCCCCAUCGACAGUUGCUAACGGGUAGAGCCGAGGACUCUGUCGAGACUGCCGGCGCAAGCUGCGAGGAAGGCGGGGAUGACGUCAAAUCAGCACGGCCCUUACGUCCGGGGCGACACACGUGUUACAAUGGCCGGUACAGCGGGAUGCCAGGGCGCGAGCCCGAGCGGAACCCGAAAACCGGUCUCAGUUCGGAUUGGAGUCUGCAACCCGACUCCAUGAAGCUGGAUUCGCUAGUAAUCGCGCAUCAGCCACGGCGCGGUGAAUACGUUCCCGGGCCUUGCACACACCGCCCGUCA